CCUACGGGAGGCAGCAGUGGGGAAUAUUGCACAAUGGGCGCAAGCCUGAUGCAGCCAUGCCGCGUGUAGGAUGAAGGCCCUAGGGUUGGAAAGUACUUUCAGCGGGGAGGAAGGGAGUAAAGUUAAUACCGUUACUCAAGGACGUUACGCGCAGAAGAAGCACAGGCUAACUCCGUGAGAGCAGCCGCGGUAAUACGGACGGUGCAAGCGUUAAUCGGAUUUACUGGGCGGAAAGCGCGCGCAGGCGGUUUGUUAAGUGAGAUGUGAAAUCCCCGGGCUCAACCUGGGAACUGCAGCUGAUACUGGCAAGCUUGAGUCCCGUAGAGGGAUGUAGAAUUCGAGGUGUAGCGGUGAAAUGCGUAGAGAUCUGGAAGAAUACCGGUGGCGAAGGCAGCCCCCUGGACGAAUACUGACGCUCAGGUGCGAAGGCGUGGGGAUCGAACAGGAUUAGAUACCCGAGUAGUC
This 465-nucleotide ribosomal RNA is filed under the name uncultured bacterium. RNAcentral describes it as "partial 16S ribosomal RNA". It matches the Rfam family "Bacterial small subunit ribosomal RNA", at positions 338 to 795 of the family's 1533-position model. The record is from RNAcentral.